GAUGAACGCUGGCGGCGUGCCUAAUACAUGCAAGUAGAACGCUGAAGCUUGGUGCUUGCACCGAGCGGAUGUGUUGCGAACGGGUGAGUAACGCGUAGGUAACCUGCCUCUUAGCGGGGGAUAACUAUUGGAAACGAUAGCUAAUACCGCAUAAAAGUCGAUAUCGCAUGAUAUUGAUUUGAAAGGUGCAAAUGCAUCACUAAGAGAUGGACCUGCGUUGUAUUAGCUAGUUGGUGAGGUAACGGCUCACCAAGGCGACGAUACAUAGCCGACCUGAGAGGGUGAUCGGCCACACUGGGACUGAGACACGGCCCAGACUCCUACGGGAGGCAGCAGUAGGGAAUCUUCGGCAAUGGGGGCAACCCUGACCGAGCAACGCCGCGUGAGUGAAGAAGGUUUUCGGAUCGUAAAGCUCUGUUGUAAGAGAAGAACGAGUGUGAGAGUGGAAAGUUCACACUGUGACGGUAACUUACCAGAAAGGGACGGCUAACUACGUG
RNAcentral lists this ribosomal RNA (497 nucleotides) under uncultured bacterium. RNAcentral's name for it is "partial 16S ribosomal RNA". It matches the Rfam family "Bacterial small subunit ribosomal RNA", at positions 28 to 507 of the family's 1533-position model. The record is from RNAcentral.